This 1056-nucleotide long non-coding RNA is filed under the name Felis catus (domestic cat). RNAcentral's name for it is "lncRNA (ENSFCAG00000053408.1)". The record is from RNAcentral. Lineage: Eukaryota; Metazoa; Chordata; Mammalia; Carnivora; Felidae.
AAUUCAAGAUACAUUGUGGCCCAGGCACAGUGGAGUGGGGGGAGCAGCUGUGGAAGACUCCAAGGGCAGGGCACCUCCAGGGCCCCUAAAGCCCUGGCCAGGGAGAGAACCUUACAGAGGAGGAGGUCACCGCCUCCCACACAGUCUGGACUCCCCCGUAAGCCCAAGGAUCCUAGCCAGCUCGGUCACCCCCAUCCCCUCAGGCACCCACUCCGCUGGGCCCCGCCAGACAGCGGCCUCAGUUUACCCUUGGACCUUGAGCAGAAGGGAAGGUUGCGGGGCCACGCAGGACCGCACCCAGGGAGGGACCGGGGCCUCUGGUUUCUUGGCCCCCAACCCCAGCGGAGGCGGGAGGGGGAGGGGAGAGGGUUACGUAACGCGCGGCGCGGGGGGCGGGGCGGGGCGGGGAAGGGCAGCCAAUGGGGGCGGCCCCUCCUAGGAAUAGCCUGGCUGUUCCGUCCUCAGUCACCAGAACAGCCCCCUCCGCGCCCGUCCAGCCCGCGCGUGCUGCGCGUGGGGGCGGGGGACGAGCGGACACCUGGGGAGAGCGUGGCUGGGAGCCGGCGGCGCGUGCGCAGGGGCCGAGGCUGCUCCCCGGCGGGCGAGCCUCCCAGCCCAGAGGCCCCCGCUAGCUCCCCGGGACCGGCGUUCGGCGCCCCGAGCCUCCUUCCCAGGUCCCGGCUCCCACAGCCCCUCUGCGCUCCCGCCGGUCAGGUGACGUCACACCUCGCGGCCCGGAGCCCCCGCCCUCCUCCUCCAAGGUCACCCGGGACCCACGGGAGCUCCGGGCCCGCGCCGCCCCUUCCCCGCCGAGCGCGUCUGCCUCCCCCGCUCCCCGGCGGCGGUUCCCGCCUCCCUCCGCUCGCACUUACUUCAUCCGGCCUGGCCUCGCUGUUAUUUAUAUCCGCGUCUGGCUCCCCAGCAGACGGCUGUGACGGGAGGCGACAGCGGGGCCGGCCUGGGGGCCCGCACGCCUGCCGUGUGCAGCAAAUGCCGGCGGGCCGGGGGUCCGCCUUUGGCCAGCAGACGGAGGGAGCCCCUUGCCAAAGCCCCUAG